UCCAUUAAUACAAUACAAGUUUUCCAAUUUUCAUUUUCUUUUAUAUUGACUAAUAAAUUUAAUUAUUAUCAGACAAUUACUAUCAAAGCAGAUACUAAACAGAUGGUUGCGGGUACUAAAGUCUUCUCCUGGGUAUGCUUGAAGGCGGUCAAUGUAGAUGCGGCUGUGCUGCAUUACCAGCUUCAUGGAAGUACUCUCCCGGGAACAUACUCGAGGGCAGUCAGUGUCAGUGUAGAUGGUACAUAAUUGACACUCGCAGUGUAAUGGAAGCGGGCGGCGGCUGCGAAAGCAAAAUGACAGAAAGUUCGAAAUAACUGCAACAUCACCAAAAUCACCAACAUGAGUGUCAUGCGGAAGCUAGUAGUCCCAGUCUUCCUUUACGCGACAGAGACGUGGACACAACACACAUGUGUAUAAGAUGUGACUGUUUAACAGUUAUGUGGUUGCGGAUACUGAAGUGUUCUCCUGGGAGUAAUUGAGGGACGUCGAUGUAGAUGCGGCUGUGCUGCAUUACCAGCUUCAUGGAAGUACUCUCCCGGGAACAUACUCGAGGGCAGUCAGUGUCAGUGUAGAUGGUACAUACUUGAACAUCGCUGCAUAAUGAGAGCGGGUGGCGGCUCUUGCAAAACUGUGAAACAGAAAUCAAAGUUAUAAAGAAUUGCAACAUCACCAAAAUCACCAACAUGAGUGUCAUGCGGAAGCUAGUAGUCCCAAUCUUCCUUUACGCGACAGAGACGUGGACAGAAUAUCAAGUGAAACCCAUUGCCAGUUUGCGUCAGGCAGUCCACGGAGAUGGCGGGAGAUUGUAAGGAAAGCUGUAUUCGACUCUAAUACAAUUACGGCCAACGCAACAUGACCAUGGAGAAGAUGAUGGAGGUGCUCACCUGGGAUGGGAUCCUGGAGCAGUCUGUGUAGUAUAACGUCAAUAGGUAAAGCCACCGGCAGGUUGUCAGCGCGCGGGCCGCCGUCGGCUUUUUCAAAGGCAAAAACAUCGUACCUACAGCCAAACUCCGUAAAGACUGCGAAAUAUGUCCAGAACAACGGUCGUCACCAACAUUUCAAGAUUAAAGGUCUUCUUACUUAACGCCAAGCUCGUCAAGCUCUAAAAUAGCAUACUAAAUACAUUCUAUGCGUAUGUUAAAUGCAAGCAGUUCAUCACACGCAAUAGGCAGCUAGUUCAAAUUGUCGCAGCACUGGGGGCCAGACUUGUCGUCAUUAGCUCGGCGGUCAAAUGUAGUUUAGGUCAUCUUCACUGAUUUCUGAAUGUAUGUUGAUAGGAUAUUUAUGUGUUGAAACCGCCUUAUAAUUAAUAAAAUGUAUAAAAUAUUGGAUUUGUUAUUUUAUUUCAC
Non-coding RNA from Spodoptera litura, 1349 nucleotides. Lineage: Eukaryota; Metazoa; Arthropoda; Insecta; Lepidoptera; Noctuidae. The record is from RefSeq and is a predicted model, not a curated record.